Molecule: ribosomal RNA, 380 nt
Filed under: uncultured bacterium
Lineage: Bacteria
Description: bacterial SSU rRNA
Rfam family: Bacterial small subunit ribosomal RNA
Source: RNAcentral
GACGAACGCUGGCGGCGUGCUUAACACAUGCAAGUCGAGCGGUAAGGCCCUUUCGGGGGUACACGAGCGGCGAACGGGUGAGUAACACGUGGGUGACCUGCCCUUAGCUCUGUAAUAAGCCUGGGAAACUGGGUCUAAUACCGGAUAUGACUCCAUGACGCAUGUUGUGGGGUGGAAAGCCUUGUGCGGCUAGGGAUGGGCCCGCGGCCUAUCAGCUUGUUGGUGGGGUGANGGCCUACCAAGGCGACGACGGGUAGCCGGCCUGAGAGGGCGACCGGCCACACUGGGACUGAGACACGGCCCAGACUCCUACGGGAGGCAGCAGUGGGGAAUCUUGCGCAAUGGGACGAAAGCCUGACGCAGCGACGCCGCGUGAGGGA